ACUCAAAGGAAUAGACGGGGGCCCGCACAAGCGGUGGAGCAUGUGGUUCAAUUCGACGCAACGCGAAGAACCUUACCCAGGCUCGAACGGCAAGUGACACCCUACGAAAGUAGGUUUCCGCAAGGACAGUUGUCGAGGUGCUGCAUGGCUGUCGUCAGCUCGUGUCGUGAGAUGUUGGGUUAAGUCCCGCAACGAGCGCAACCCUUGUCCGCUGUUGCCAUCACGUUAUGGUGGGCACUCUGCGGAGACUGCCGGUGAUAAACCGGAGGAAGGUGGGGAUGACGUCAAGUCAGCAUGGCCUUUAUGUCUGGGGCUACACACGUGCUACAAUGGCCGACACAAACCGUCGCGAUACCGCGAGGUGGAGCUAAUCGGACAAAGUCGGUCUCAGUUCGGAUUGCAGGCUGCAACUCGCCUGCAUGAAGUUGGAAUCGCUAGUAAUCGCGGAUCAGCACGCCGCGGUGAAUACGUUCCCGGGCCUUGUACACACCGCCCGU
This 497-nucleotide ribosomal RNA is filed under the name uncultured bacterium. RNAcentral's name for it is "partial 16S ribosomal RNA". It matches the Rfam family "Bacterial small subunit ribosomal RNA", at positions 899 to 1397 of the family's 1533-position model. The record is from RNAcentral.